GGAGGGUUUCCGCCCUUCAGUGCUGCAGCUAACGCAUUAAGUAAUCCGCCUGGGGAGUACGACCGCAAGGUUGAAACUCAAAAGAAUUGACGGGGGCCCGCACAAGCGGUGGAGCAUGUGGUUUAAUUCGAAGCUACGCGAAGAACCUUACCAGGUCUUGACAUCUUCUGCCAACCUAAGAGAUUAGGCGUUCCCUUCGGGGACAGAAUGACAGGUGGUGCAUGGUUGUCGUCAGCUCGUGUCGUGAGAUGUUGGGUUAAGUCCCGCAACGAGCGCAACCCUUAUUACUAGUUGCCAGCAUUCAGUUGGGCACUCUAGUGAGACUGCCGGUGACAAACCGGAGGAAGGUGGGGACGACGUCAAAUCAUCAUGCCCCUUAUGACCUGGGCUACACACGUGCUACAAUGGAUGGUACAACGAGUCGCGAAACCGCGAGGUUUAGCUAAUCUCUUAAAACCAUUCUCAGUUCGGACUGUAGGCUGCAACUCGCCUACACGAAGUCGGAAUCGCUAGUAAUCGCGGAUCAGCAUGCCGCGGUGAAUACGUUCCCGGGCCUUGUACACACCGCCCGUCACACCAUGAGAGUUUGUAACACCCAAAGCCGGUGGGG
This 610-nucleotide ribosomal RNA is filed under the name Pediococcus acidilactici. Its description in RNAcentral is "bacterial SSU rRNA". It matches the Rfam family "Bacterial small subunit ribosomal RNA", at positions 825 to 1435 of the family's 1533-position model. The record is from RNAcentral. Lineage: Bacteria; Bacillati; Bacillota; Bacilli; Lactobacillales; Lactobacillaceae.